CCCCGCGGGCCUCCCAAGGCAGCCCCCUGUUAGCCCGACCGGCUUCGAAGCCCGCGCCGGUUGCGGAUCCUCCGCCGCGCCCACCUGUCAGCGCCUCGGCCGGCCGGGGCUCCCGCCGCAUGCAAGCAGCGAGGCGAGGUCGCGCUGAGGCCUGGCCAUGCCACGGACGGCCGGGCCUCACCCUGCCGCUCUCUCGCCGUCCAGAGGCCCCUGCUCCACACCUGGGUACCCUGGGUCCUGACUCAGGGCAGCUGGGUGAGAAGCUAACGGCUUGAAGGAACAGGGCUACAAGGGGAGUUUGUGCUGGGCCUGGCGUCCCAGGCUGUGGACUGGAACUGGACAUGAGAACCCCCCCUACACCCUCCCAAGUCAAAGACACUCCAAAAAGA
Molecule: long non-coding RNA, 389 nt
Filed under: Homo sapiens (human)
Lineage: Eukaryota; Metazoa; Chordata; Mammalia; Primates; Hominidae
Description: non-protein coding lnc-METTL26-1:5
Source: RNAcentral